AGUAACAAGUCCACUAUCCAUCUUUCCUCCUAUCAACUUUGCGGUCUGUUUAACUUCUCCACUGCUAAAGACCAAAGUUCAGAGCAUAGUUCCAACUUUAUAGUGGUCGACUCCCUUCAUUCAUGUGAACUUUCCUCAGAGAAGGCUGCAAAAAAAGCCAAGUAUCACACCUGUCACAAAAAUUCUUCGAGUCUUUCCAUUGAGUUCUUUAAGCAGAGCGGUUGGAGUGAUGCACAAGUCAUGAAACUUAUCCGGAAGUCACCGCUGUUGCUGCGUACUAAGGUAGAGACUGCCCUGAAGCCCAGAAUGAGAUCUUUGAAGGACAUGGGAUUUUCUGACACUGAAAUAGUUCAGCUGGUUUCAUCAUGUCCAUCUGUACUCCUUUUACGUGAUAUCCAACCAAAGAUCGACUUCUGGAGGUCACUACUUGGUUCUAAUGAGAGGUUACUGAAUGCCUCUAGGAGGAACAUGUUUCUACUUGGUUCUAGCAUGGAUCGGAAGAUAGAACCUAAUGUAUCUCUCUUAAGGGAAUGUGGCAUCAGUGACAAACGCAUCGUGUAUAUGGUGAUGACAACGCCGGCCAUUAUGGGUCGAUCAAACAAAUAUAUGAAGGAAGCUAUCAAAUUAGUUAAGGAGUUGGGUGUGCCAUGUAACUGUAGAAUGUUCCCUUAUGCACUUAGUAUGGUCACCGGCAUGAGCCGAUCCAGGUUUUAUGAUACCUUUGCAACCCUGAUGAACUUUGGGUUCUCCCUGCAAGACAUCAUAGCUGCAUUCAGGAAGCAUCCAACCAUUUGGUAUUUGUCGAAGAAGAACAUAUGUGACAAGAUGACUUUCCUGUUGAAGGAAGCUGGUUGUGAGCUGACAUAUAUCAUUUCCCAUCCUGUGAUUCUUGCAUACAGCUUGGAGAAGAGGUUGAAACCUCGAUAUGCAAUUCUGAAUUUUCUUGAGCAGAAUAAAUUGCUGGAUAAAGUAUAUAGCCUGAUGUCCGUGAUAAUGCUAUCGGAAAAGAAGUUCCAAAAUAAAUUUCUUUUCCUGCUUCGCGAGGAGAAAUCUAUUGCUCUAUAUGAUUCCUAUUUGAAAUCUGUUGCUCAAUAGGAUUCCUAUGUUGCUGCUGGGCAUGGAAAGCACCAUGUUGUUUGGGAAAAUUAGGAUUGCAUGUGCUUCCUCAGACAAAGUGUCAACUUAUUGCACACUUAUUUAAUCAUGUUAAAUUUGUGACAAUUUAAAUUCUCCAAGGAGCUUCUUUUCUUUUAUUCUUUGGUACAACAAAAGAUACGGAUUCUUUUAUGCAGAAAUAUAGUGAACCAACGGGGAGAAGUCUUACUUAAGAAAGAUAUAAAGGUAACUAAAAUGUUUCAACUCUGUCAGCUAUCUGUGUCAACUUGGCAUCAGUCGUAUUAAUUUAGAUGAUUAAGAACUUGUUAAUUAUGUGAGUAUGAAUAGGGACUAAUAUAUGAUAGUAAAGAGUUAAUUGUGUGAGGGCUUUCUUUGUCAGAAUCCCAUCACCUCUCCACCGGCUCUAAAUUACAUCUCUAUUUAUAUGGAAUGAAACCUCUAUUGUUACAUGUUGUUAAUCAUGCACUAAUAUAUGAUAGUUAAGUGUGAUUUAUUGAAGAUAUCGAUUUACUAUAUACUAUUGUUGAAAAAUGAACCCACGAGAGUAAUACCUUUCGAUUUAUUGUUGGAGCGCACUAACGAAUAUUCAGUUAUGCAAAGAUGAUUAUUAUAAUAUGAUGAUUGAAUUUUGUGUAUACUAUGGUACAUUAGUGCAUGUGGCAAUUAUGAGAUUUAUUAGAUAGUAUCAACAUGCACUAUUGUAAGAGGCCCCGUGAGAUCAACGUGCACUAUUGUGAGAUUUAUUAUAUAGUAUCAACUGUCACCUCUCUCUCCCUCUCUCUCUCUCUUUCUCAGCCCGUGACUGCAUGCAUGCAUCCCAAUAUUCGUUCUAGUCAUCGUUCUAGUCAUAUCCAGACAUACUCACACAUUAAGAAUUUAAGAGUCAUCGGUUCAUCUCAAGCUUGCUUCUUAAUGUUCAAUUUAAUGCACUAAGCAAUAGAUAUGGUUUAAGGUAACAACACUCUCUCGAGUGAAGUGAACGGGUCUCGGCGCCCCCCUGAUUCAAAUCAGAGAGGACUAUAUUGGAUCUGAGCACAACAUAAGUCACUGGAUCUGGUUCGAUGGAACCAAAUGAAGGACUCUCCUCUCUCACACACAACUAUAUCAAUGGCCACGCGUCCAAUGAGAAGACUCGUGGAAACCUAAUCAGCCACCGGCGGCACCGUCUUCCUCUCCAUCCGCGAAUGGCGGCGGCAGCAAUGUCUUCCUCAGCGGGCUCAUCGUUGGUAUCUUUCUCCUCCUCCUCCUCCUCCUCAUCCUUUGCCGUCGCCCACUCUGCCCCAACCGCCUCCCUCCAUCUUCCCGCCCCCACCUUCGCCGUAGCCCCCCCGCGACCGGCGUCUGCCCCUGCCUCUUCCUUUCCCCUCGUCGUAGCCGUCUUACCCCUUCCUUCCUGCGCCGGCGUUUUCCCUUCUCCUCCCUACGUCGGCGUCUUCUUUCAUUGUAUCAUCCUUUCACCCCCGCAGCGUCUUCUCCCCCCUUCGCUUCGCUGCAGCCGCUUGAUAAGACCCUAAGGUUUUAUCAGGGAAAAAAUUGGGAGAAAAGGGGACGAUCACUUCGAGAUGAUCGGCCUCCUUGAUCACUUCGAGGGGAUCGUCGACGGGAACUUGUCUUCGUGCCCGGCACCCAGUGUGCAGCUGUUUGUUCAACAUUCUAAAGUUUUUGUUUUUCUCAUUUAUCUCUUUUCUCUUAUGCACGCAAAGUGUUCGCUGAAUGGCUUUUAAAGCUUUUCUUUUUGUGGGACGUCGGGACUUGUCCGUUGUUUAUUCUUCGAACUAAUCAACUUUUUCUUAUGCACGCAAGGUGUUCGCUGACCUUUGCGGACACAUAUCACAAGGGCACGUCAUGACUUUGGCAAUCCCAAUUAAGUCCAAGAAGUUGACGCAACGGCGCUUUGCGACUUAGGCAACUCAAGCCAAAUUUGUGUCUUGGCCGCAAGGGUGCCUCACGACUUAGGCAAUUCCAGUUAAGUCCGUGACAAGGCGACGGUGAAGAAGGAGGCAACGAGGGUCACGGUUGGGAUGUGUUGGCCGGGAGCAGUGGCGGUGGCGGUUGCUGGCCGAAGAUGCAAGGCUGACCCUGUUUUGGUCGCCGCGAGGAGGAGAGGUCGAGCGGCUGCGGUUGCGAUUGCGACCCAAGGGGGGGCGGGCGACGGUGGAGAAGGAGGCAGCGAGGUUCACGACUGGGAGGUGGGCGACGGUCAUCGUUGGCCGGGAACUUGCUGUGGUGGAGAGGGGAAAGAGGGAUGCUCUGUUUCUAUCGCACCACAGCAGGAGCCACUGGCGAUGUCGAAGGAUCGCGAGCGGUUGAGGAGAAGGCUGGCAACGGUGGUGGCUCGGGUGGGAGGUGACGGGCGACGGUGGACUCUGGCCGGGGAGCGGGGCUGUGGUGGGAUGGGACAUUGGCAGCGUCGUCUCCUGGCAGCGGUGGUGGCUUGGGUGGGAGGCAACAGGCGAUGGUGGACUCCGGCCGGGAAGCAGGGCGGUGGUGGUAGCGGCGGUGGGGUUGGUUGGAAGUAGGGAAAGUAUGAGCCCUUUCCACCAGCGACAGUGGUGGAGGAGAGGGGAAGCAGGGGUUCUCGGUUGUGCGUGGCUGCGCCCCCUUUUUUUUUUUUUAUGAUAACUACAACGAGGACUCCGAGGAUCGCUGCUCUGAUACCAAAUGAUAAGACCCUAGGGUUUUAUUAUGGAAAAAAAGGGAGAAAAGGGGAUGAUCACUUCGAGGGGAUCGACCUCCUAGGGUUUGUCAAAAGACUUAAUAAUAUUUCAUUGUCUCCGAAAAGAAACGAUUACAUCAUUAUUUAUAGAGUUCCACUUAGAAUCCAUCACGACUUGGACUCUUAAUAAUAAAUAAAUAUUAAAUAAAUUUCUAUCCGAUUCUAACUGAAUUAAACAUACUCAAUAAACAUUAUUCAAAAGUUUAGAAAAUAAAAAGGAUCCUAACAUCGCCCCAGCAACCCAACCGACAUUGACAACCAUUCUAACCCGUACCUCCUCCUCCUCCUCGGAUCCUUCAUCCUUGACCCCCUCCCAACUGACAACAACCCCCUCUUCAUCCUCCUCCUUCUAUGUAAAUUGUUUUAUUAAUAUAGAUUUGAACAAGUAUUAUUUGGUCCUUUAAAUGAUUACCAUGUUUCUUUUUUUGUUUUAGCGAUUAUAUCUAUUAAUCAUGAUAUAUACUUUUAAAAUUUUAAGAAGCAUCUCUCUUCACUUGGGCCAGCGCCUAGCCAAGCACCUAGCAUCUCAGGCGUUUUGACACUUUGGCGUCGUUUAGUGUCUCUCACCCGCGACCACACUGCUAUAGCACAACUUGGUUCACUUGUUUGGUUCCAUUUAAUUAUUCAGACCCAUGCAUGUUGCCACACUUGGUUGAUGUUAGUUUUCAUGCUUGGUCCUUUAUGUGCAUGUUUGAAUUCAUCUGAACCAAAUUGAGCACAUCACAGCUCCACAAAAAAAUCAUUGGAUUUGAGCUGCAUUGGUUAUAUAUGUAUUCUAAAAAUGUUAUGAGAUUCAAGUGAGAUUGUCUUGAUUCAAUUUUAACCUAAACAUGUUUCAGCUGCAUUCCCUCGCAACAAGUUCUAUGCAUAAACUAACCUGUCCAUGAGUCCCUCAUGCAUAAUGUCUGCCUGCAUAUACAUGUUUGAUUGCAUGCCAUUAUCUUAUUGUAUCAAUCUUUUGAUCCUAUUAUUAUUUUUUUUGUUGCUUACCACAUAAGUCGGUUGGUUCUAAAAUGGUUAUGAAUGGCAAAGAAGUUUGUAAUAUGACUUUUGUUUAUCGUUACCUAUUUGUUGCUCAGACAUAAUAAUAUAUGUGCAAUUUAGUUAUCAGAUAGAACCACACACAUGGGAACAUUGCACAUAUUUCUUGUCUGUUUUUGGCUCUUGUGGUAACUUCAUCACAUAAGUGCUGAUUCCGGUGUCUUGCAUUGAACCACAGUAAUGAAUUGCUGGACCUCCUUUCGCAUGUAUUUACUAAUUAUGCAUACAGAAUGCAUUUAUAUAUUUGAUUUUGUGGCUAACGGAUUGUCUAUAUUAAUGGGAUUUGGAGAGGGCAGUUAGGUACUAGAAGCUAUUAGGAGCUGUCACUGUAUCUUCAUGCUAUCCUCUUCACAUCGAAGCUCUCAUUUUUCUUUUUUGUUGUUGUACAUGCCUCUGGAUCGUUCAUCAAUCAAUGUGAUUUUGUAUUUUGCUGUGCUUAGAUUUUAUUUUUCAUUUUUUUCUUCUUUUCAUUUCUUUGCUAUGAGAUGGUAGAUUUGUGCCUUGGCGGUCAUUAUAAACUGUGGUUUCAUUUUACAUUUUGAAACAUUAGUCAUUUUGGCAUCCAAAAUAAUUUUAUGUGACAUUUCAAAUUUCCUAUGACAUCAAUUACUUUGUUUUGUUCUUGAACAUUGGUACAGUGACAUGGUAUAAGUGAUCUUUUAUACAUGCUCAUUUGGUGAUCAUUGUAACUCGUAAAGGAGGUCAUGAAAAUAAUUUUGACUAAUAUUAGUUUAAAUUUACUUUACUUGAUUGUGGCCCAGAUAAUGUAAUCAAAUGUGGUGCUCGGCAUUUGAAAAUUUUCUUAUUAUACAAUAUCUCCAAUGAUGCGUAUUUAGUGACAACUGAAUUAAUUUCUGGCUCUUGGAUAUGAGCUGGUUCAGAACUGACCUUAGAUGGUGAAUUUUUCAAUCUCAGAUGUUCAAUGUUCUGAAAAUGCAUGCAUGUCAUUUACGAGCAUUUACUUUGGAGAAACAGCAAGCAACAACAUGCAAGUUAAAUACUGUUUAUUAAGAUGGACAGCAGGAGAAGUGCUGCUUUUAGAGAUAGAAAAGAGAAUUGGAAAGUUUUUUGACAAAAAAAAAGCUUGGAAAAGAUUGAACAAGAGAUAGCAGAGACUGUAAUUGUGUUACUGGCCAAAGAAAAUUAUAUUCAUUUGUCAAUAGAAUCAUGCAUACGUCUGGUGAUUCCUCAUGUGAAGGAUUUUAUUUAUAAAUAUAUCUGAGAUAGUACUAAUCUGAUUAGGUUUCCCAAAAGAAGCCCUCUAAACAGCAGCUGCUUGCUUUGAUAAAAGUGUUUGGUUCAUCAAACCUCUUAGUUUCCUUAUUAUGCCUACCACCACAAUUUCCUUUUCAAACACACCAAAACAUUUCAACAAUCAUCAAAACCCCAAAUGGUUCAAAGGACUUGACUCUCACUAAAAGUACAAGCUGAGCAAACAAUUAGAAUGUGACUUGAUUUCCAAACCCCAAAGUAGACCCAAAAUUUCAAUGUGUUUGGUUAGGUGUAACCUUACAUCUUUAUGUCGGCAUAGUGUGGUCUCCUCUGCAGGCUGAUAACAACUCUCUUGGCAACUUGAUACAUGUUUGUACCUCAAAAGAUAUUGGUGUUCUUAUAUUUGAAUUACCAUUCCUGUAUUUCUACUAGUAGCAAUAGAAAAAUAUUUGAAUUUUCUUAAUUCAACCACAGAUGUUUUCUUACACAGAAUUCAUUGAUGCAAAGGAUGCAUAUAGCGGAUAUGACUUUUAUUAUUGUUGUGCUUGUUUGCACUUGCUCGUUUUAUUGGCAAAUUCUCACAGAUCUAGGUUAUGUUGGUGAAACUUCUCAGUAAGAAAUAUUUCUUCCUUAUUAAUGACAUCAAGGUAUUUUUAAUACUGUAGCUGAAGCUAUUUGCACGAGCUGUCUUUCUCUAAAAUUAAGUUCCUUUAUCAACAUUGAACCAAAUAAACUAGUAGCCUUUCUUGAUCGAGGCACCUUUCUUACCUCUUGGUUCAUUUUAUGGAAAAUUUGUUGCCUUUCUCAGGUCUUUCAGCUAAGUUGCAAUUUUUUGUCUAGUUGUAUUAACAAUGUCUUUUCUACUUACCAGUCUUUCUAGUUGUAGUAGGAAUUAGUGAUCUCUGAAAGAAAUGGCUAAUGGAAACUGAAUGCAGGUGGGUUAACGUGAGUGGUAGACGAAUGUCCUCUGAUCAGAUGAUUAGUUGAAAGUUUUCAACUUCCUUUUGGUUGGAAGCAGAUACAGAAAAUAUAUUAGUUUGGGUGCCCUUGAUUCGAGGUAGAAGAGGAAGCUGAACAUAGAGCAGGCAGCAAUAAGACUACUUUUCUUGUAUUUUUCUGCAAACAGUACGUGAUACUGCUUCAAAAGAUCAUGUUUUUGGUGCAAAAGAGGCUCUUUCGCUGUCUCCCAAGUAACAAGUCCACUAUCCAUCUUUCCUCCCAUCAACUUUGCAAUCUGUUUAACUUCUCCACUGCUAAAGACCAAAGUUCAGAGCAUAGUUCCAACUUUAUAGUGGUCGACUCCCUUCAUUCAUGUGAACUUUCCUCAGAGAAGGCUGCAAAAAAAGCCAAGUAUCACACCUGUCACAAAAAUUCUUCGAGUCUUUCCAUUGAGUUCUUUAAGCAGAGCGGUUGGAGUGAUGCACAAGUCAUGAAACUUAUCCAGAGGUCACCGCUGUUGCUGCGUACUAAGGUAGAGACUGUCCUGAAGCCCAGAAUGAGAUCUUUGAAGGACAUGGGAUUUUCUGACACUGAAAUAGUUCAGCUGGUUUCUUCAUGUCCAUCUGUACUACUUAUACGUGAUAUCCAACCAAAGAUCAACUUCUGGAGGUCACUACUUUGUUCUAAUGAGAGGUUACUGAAAGCCUCUAGGAGGAACUUGUUUCUACUUACUUCUAGCUUGGCUCGGAAGAUAAAACCUAAUAUAUCUCUCUUAAGGGAAUGUGGCAUCAGUGACAAACUCAUCGCGAAUAUGGUGGUGACAGGGCCAGCCAUUUUGGGUCGAUCAAACAAAUGUAUGAAGGAAGCUAUCAAAUAUGUUGAGGAGUUGGGUGUGCCACGUAACUGUAGAAUGUUCCCUUAUGCACUUAAAAUAGUCGCUGGCAUGAGCCGAUCCAGGUUUGAUGCUACCUUUGCAACCCUGAUGAACUUUGGGUUCUCCCAGUCAGACAUCAUUGAUGUAUUCAGGAAGCAACCAACCGUUUGGGUUUUCUCAAAGAAGAACAUUUGUGACAAGAUGACUUUCCUGAUGAAGGAAGCUGGUUGUGAGCUGACAUAUAUCAUUUCCCAUCCUGCGAUUCUUAUAUACAGCUUGGAGAAGAGGUUGAAACCUCGAUAUGAAAUUCUGAAUUUUCUUGAGCAGAAUAAAUUGCUGGAUAAAGUAAAUGGCCUGAUAACCAUGAUAAUGCUAUCGGAAAAGAAGUUCCGAAAUAAAUUUCUUUUCCUGCUUCGCGAGGAGAAAUAUAUUGCUCUAUAUGAUUCCUAUGUUGCUGCUGUGCAUGGAAAGCGCCAUGUUGUUGUGGAAAAUUAGGAUUGCAAGUGCUUCCUUAGACAAAGUGUGAACCUAUUGCAUACUGACUGUAUUAUUUAAUCAUGUAAAAUUUGUGACAAUUUAAAUUCUCUAAGAGUUACUUCUUACGGUAGAACGUCCAUGUUGAUUUUGAGAUUUCUUUUCUCUUUAUUCUUCGGUACAACAAAAGAUACUGAUUCUUUAAUGCAUAAAUAUAGAGAACCAAGGGGGAGAAGUCAUUAUUUAAGAAAGAAACAAAGGUAACUAAAAUAUUUCAGAUCUGUCGGUUGGUCAGUGUCCACUUCAUUGAGAGCGAGUUAAUUAGGAGAGUAUGAUUUGAAGAUAUCCUCCAACCCUUAUAAAUAUGCAUGUGAUCAACGUGCUCUAUUGUGAGAUUUAUUAUUAUAGUAUCAACUGUCACCUCUCUCUCUGUCUCUCUCUCUCAGCCCGUGACUGCAUGCAUCCCAAUAUUCGUUCUAGUCAUAUCCAGACUCACACAUUAUGAAUUUAAGAGCCAUCGGUCCAACUCAAGCUUGCUUCUUAAUGUUCAAUUUAAUGCACUAAGCAAUAUAUAUGCUUUAAGGUAACAACACUCUCUCGAGUGAAGUGAACGGGCCUCGGCGCCCACCUGAUUCAAAUCAGAGAGGACUAUAUUGGAUCUGAGCCCAACAUAAGUCACUGGAUCUGGUUCGAUGGAACCAAAUGAAGGACUCUCCUCUCUCACACACAACUAUAUCGAUGGCCACGCGUGCAAUGAGAAGACUCGUGGAAACCUAAUCAGCCACCGGCGGCACCGUCUUCCUCUCCAUCGGCGAAUGGCGGCGGCAGCAAUGUCUUCCUCAGCGGGCUCAUCGUUGGUAUCUUUCUCCUCCUCCUCCUCCUCCUUUGCCGUCGCCCACUCUGCCCCAACCGCCUCCCUCCAUCUUCCCGCCCACACAUUCGCCGCCAGCGUCCCCUCUUCUUCGCCUCGUCGUAGCCGUCUUCCCCCUUCCUCCCUGCGCCGGCGUUUUCCCUUCUCCUCCCUACGUCGGCGUCUUCUUUCAUUGUAUCAUCCUUUCACCCCCGCGGCCAGCGUCUUCUCCCCCCUUCGCUUCGCUGCAGCCGCCCCAGCAACCCAACCGACAAAGACAGCCACCUCAACCCACAGCAACCUUCUCCCGUACCUCCUCCUCCCUCUCCUUCUCCUCGGAUCCUUCAUCCUUGCCCCCCUCCCAACUGACAGCAACCCCUUCUUCAUCCUUCUCCUUCUACGUAAAUUGUUUUUUUGAUAUAGAUUUGAACAAGUAUUAUUUGGUCCUUUAAAUGAAUACUAUGUUUCUUUUUUUUGUUUUAGCGAUUACAUCUAUUAAUCAUGAUGUAUACUUUUAAAAUUUUAAGAAGCAUCUCUCUUCACUCGGGCGUGGAAAGAAAUGGCUAAUGGAAACUGAAUGCAGGUGGGCUAACGUGAGUGGUAGACGAAUGUCCUCUGAUCAGAUGAUUAGUUGAAUGUUUUCAACUUCCUUUUGGUUGGAAGCAGAUACAGAAAAUAUAUUAGUUUGGGUGCCCCUGAUUUGAGGUAGAAGAGGAAGCUGAACAUAGAGCAGGCAGCAAUAAGACUACUUUUCUUGUAUUUUUCUGCAAACAGUACGUGAUACUGCUUCAAAAGAUCAUGUUUUUGGUGCAAAAGAGGCUCUUUCGCUGUCUCCCAAGUAACAAGUCCACUAUCCAUCUUUCCUCCCAUCAACUUUGCAGUCUGUUUAACUUCUCCACUGCUAAAGACCAAAGUUCAGAGCAUAGUUCCAACUUUAUUGUGGUCGACUCCCUUCAUUCAUGUGAACUUUCCUCAGAGAAGGCUGCAAAAAACUCCAAGUAUCACACCUGUCACAAAAAUUCUUCGAGUCUUACCAUUGAGUUCUUUAAGCAGAGCGGUUGGAGUGAUGCACAAGUCAUGAAACUUAUCCAGAAGUCACCGCGGUUGCUGCGUACUAAGGUAGAAACUGUCCUGAAGCCCAGAAUGAGAUCUUUGAAGGACAUGGGAUUUUCUGACACUGAAAUAGUUCAGCUAGUUUCAUCAUGUCCAUCUGUACUAAUACGCGAUAUCCAACCGAAGAUCAACUUCUGGAGGUCACUACUUGGUUCUAAUGAGAGGUUACUGAAAGCCUCUAGGAGGAACAUGUUUCUACUUACUUCUAGCUUGGCUCGGAAGAUAGAACCUAAUAUAUCUCUCUUAAGGGAAUGUGGCAUCAGUGACAAACGCAUCGCGUAUAUGGUGGUGACAAAGCCGACCAUUAUUGGUCGAUCAAACAAAUAUAUAAAGGAAGCUAUCAAAUAUGUUGAGGAGUUGGGUGUGCCAUGUAACUG
Molecule: long non-coding RNA, 10712 nt
Filed under: Musa acuminata (dwarf banana)
Lineage: Eukaryota; Viridiplantae; Streptophyta; Magnoliopsida; Zingiberales; Musaceae
Description: long non-coding RNA (MACU_LNC006298)
Source: RNAcentral